AUUCUGGCUCAGAAUGAACGCUGGCGGCGUGCCUAAGACAUGCAAGUCGCACGUGAAAGUAGCAAUAUGAGUAAAGUGGCGCACGGGUGAGUAAUAAUUAGGUAAUGCUCCUAUUCGCUGAGAAUAACCAGGCGAAAGCUUGGCUAAUACUGAAUGAUCCGUUUGUAACUGCGGUUAUGAACGGUAAAGCCGUAAGGCGCGAAUAGAGUAGCCUAAUUCCUAUCAGCUAGUUGGCGGGGUAAAGGCCCACCAAGGCUACGACGGGUAACUGGUCUGAGAGGACGACCAGUCACACUGGAACUGGAACACGGUCCAGACUCCUACGGGAGGCAGCAGUUAGGAAUUUUGCGCAAUGGACGAAAGUCUGACGCAGCAACGCCGCGUGAGGGAUGAAGGCCUUAGGGUUGUAAACCUCUUUUAGUCGGAACGAAAUAAAUGACGGUACCGACAGAAAAAGCACCGGCUAACUCUGUGCCAGCAGCCGCGGUGAUACAGAGGGUGCAAGCGUUAUUCGGAA
RNAcentral lists this ribosomal RNA (517 nucleotides) under uncultured bacterium. Its description in RNAcentral is "bacterial SSU rRNA". It matches the Rfam family "Bacterial small subunit ribosomal RNA", at positions 16 to 550 of the family's 1533-position model. The record is from RNAcentral.